This 380-nucleotide ribosomal RNA is filed under the name uncultured bacterium. RNAcentral's name for it is "partial 16S ribosomal RNA". It matches the Rfam family "Bacterial small subunit ribosomal RNA", at positions 338 to 733 of the family's 1533-position model. The record is from RNAcentral.
CCUACGGGAGGCAGCAGUGGGGAAUAUUGGGCAAUGGACGCAAGUCUGACCCAGCAACGCCGCGUGAAGGAAGAAGGCUUUCGGGUUGUAAACUUCUUUUAAGGGGGAAGAGCAGAAGACGGUACCCCUUGAAUAAGCCACGGCUAACUACGUGCCAGCAGCCGCGGUCAUACGUAGGUGGCAAGUGUUGUCCGGAUUUAAUGGGUGUAAAGGGCGUGCAGCCGGAGAGACAAGUCAAAUGUGAAAGCCCCGGGCUCAACCCGUGAACUGCAUUUGAAACUGUUUCCCUUGAGUGUCGGAGAGGUAUUCGGAAUUCCCAGUGUAGCGGUGAAAUGCAUAGAUAUUAGGAAGAACACCGGUGGCGAAGGCGGAUUACUGGC